Thalassophryne amazonica is the source of this 92-nucleotide long non-coding RNA. RefSeq lists it as uncharacterized. The record is from RefSeq and is a predicted model, not a curated record. The transcript has 3 exons. Lineage: Eukaryota; Metazoa; Chordata; Actinopteri; Batrachoidiformes; Batrachoididae.
GAAAACCCAACCAUCCGAUUAUACUAAUCACAAAAGAAAUUAGGAAAAUAGUCAUUUAUGAAUUUAAAAAUUAAGAACAACAAUGAUACUGG